Molecule: unclassified non-coding RNA, 389 nt
Filed under: Hevea brasiliensis (rubber tree)
Lineage: Eukaryota; Viridiplantae; Streptophyta; Magnoliopsida; Malpighiales; Euphorbiaceae
Source: RNAcentral
GAAGUUGUUUGUUUGUAAUCUGUAGGAUGAAAUACUAAAGAAAGUGGAACUACGUGCUUACGUAUUUUGAAGAUGUUCUCUUCUCUUCUUUGCUCUCUCUCUGUGUCUCCCUCUCAUGCCUGUGCUUGCUUGGUCUCUCAGGGCCUCCUUUCCGUCCUCCCUAGUCCUAUCAAUAAUCAACAAAAAUAUUGCAAACCAUAGAUUUUUUUUUUUCUUGAAUUUAAAGUGAACUAUAUCCAUGAGAAAAUAGUAGUGUGUGCAGUUUAGAAUAAAAUAAAAUAAAAUCAGAACUGCUGUUUCUUUUUUGCACAUGCUAAUAUGUUCAGUGAUCAAACUGAUUUUGACCUUGCCAGCUUUUAAAUUUGUAGGAGAAAUGCCGGGCACCCUCA